This 397-nucleotide ribosomal RNA is filed under the name Chlorarachniophyceae sp. RNAcentral's name for it is "partial small subunit ribosomal RNA". It matches the Rfam family "Eukaryotic small subunit ribosomal RNA", at positions 582 to 975 of the family's 1831-position model. The record is from RNAcentral. Lineage: Eukaryota; Cercozoa; Chlorarachniophyceae.
AUUCCAGCUCCAAUAGCGUAUACUAAAGUUGUUGCAGUUAAAAAGCUCGUAGUUGGAUUUCAGUCUUAAUUCGUCUGGCCCGCUCCCUUGAGGAGCCGAGUGCCGGUUGCGAAUUGGACUUCCUUCUAGCAUGAAUCUCCUACCGUUAUGCGGCCGGGAAGGACAUCUGGAUCAUUUACUUUGAAGAAAUUAGAGUGUUCAAAGCAAGCUUACGCUGUGAAUAUAUUAGCAUGGAAUAAUAACAUAGGACUCGGGUUCUAUUUUGUUGGUUUCUAGGACUCAAGUAAUGAUUGAUAGGGACAGUUGGGGGUGCUGCUAUUAUAUGGCCAGAGGUGAAAUUCACGGAUUCAUAUAAGAGCAACUUAUGCGAAAGCAUUCACCAAGGAUGUCUUCAUCA